UAACACGUAGGGGGCAAGCGUUGUCCGGAUUUAUUGGGCGUAAAGAGCUCGUAGGUGGCUCGGUAAGUCGGGUGUUAAACCCCCAGGCUCAACCUGGGGACGCCACUCGAUACUGCUGUGGCUUGAGUCCGGUAGGGGAGCGUGGAAUUCCUGGUGUAGCGGUGAAAUGCGCAGAUAUCAGGAGGAACACCAGCGGCGAAGGCGGCGCUCUGGGCCGGUACUGACACUGAGGAGCGAAAGCGUGGGUAGCAAACAGGAUUAGAUACCCUGGUAGUCCACGCCGUAAACGUUGGGCACUAGGUGUUGGUGGUAUCAACCCCGCCAGUGCCGAAGCUAACGCAUUAAGUGUCCCGCCUGGGGAGUACGGCCGCAAGGCUA
Molecule: ribosomal RNA, 378 nt
Filed under: uncultured bacterium
Lineage: Bacteria
Description: bacterial SSU rRNA
Rfam family: Bacterial small subunit ribosomal RNA
Source: RNAcentral